This 356-nucleotide ribosomal RNA is filed under the name uncultured Glomeraceae. RNAcentral describes it as "SSU rRNA". It matches the Rfam family "Eukaryotic small subunit ribosomal RNA", at positions 569 to 929 of the family's 1831-position model. The record is from RNAcentral. Lineage: Eukaryota; Fungi; Glomeromycota; Glomeromycetes; Glomerales; Glomeraceae.
AGCAGCCGCGGUAAUUCCAGCUCCAAUAGCGUAUAUUAAAGUUGUUGCAGUUAAAAAGCUCGUAGUUGAAUUUCGGGGUCAGUAGGCUGGUCGUGCCCCCGGUACGUACUGGUCUCACUGAUUCCUCCUUCCUGAAGAACCGUAAUGCCAUUAAUUUGGUGUUGCGGGGAAACAGGACUGUUACUUUGAAAAAAUUAGAGUGUUUAAAGCAAGCUAACGCUUGAAUACAUUAGCAUGGAAUAAUGAAAUAGGACGAUCGAUCCUAUUUUGUUGGUUUCUAGGAUUGACGUAAUGAUUAAUAGGGAUAGUUGGGGGCAUUAGUAUUCAAUUGUCAGAGGUGAAAUUCUUGGAUUUAU